UACAGAGGGUGCGAGCGUUAAUCGGAAUUACUGGGCGUAAAGCGCGCGUAGGCGGCUUUGCAAGUCGGGUGUGAAAUCCCCAGGCUUAACCUGGGAACUGCAUUCGAGACUGCAUUGCUAGAGUAUGGGAGAGGGAAGUGGAAUUUCCGGUGUAGCGGUGAAAUGCGUAGAUAUCGGAAGGAACAUCAGUGGCGAAGGCGACUUCCUGGUCUGUUACUGACACUGAGGCACGAAAGCGUGGGGAGCGAACAGG
RNAcentral lists this ribosomal RNA (253 nucleotides) under uncultured bacterium. RNAcentral describes it as "partial 16S ribosomal RNA". It matches the Rfam family "Bacterial small subunit ribosomal RNA", at positions 524 to 776 of the family's 1533-position model. The record is from RNAcentral.